Molecule: ribosomal RNA, 271 nt
Filed under: uncultured bacterium
Lineage: Bacteria
Description: partial 16S ribosomal RNA
Rfam family: Bacterial small subunit ribosomal RNA
Source: RNAcentral
CUCCCGCCGGCGACCGGCGCACGGGUGAGUAACACGUAUCCAACCUGCCGAUGACUCGGGGAUAGCCUUUCGAAAGAAAGAUUAAUACCCGAUGGCAUAGUUCUUCCGCAUGGUAGAACUAUUAAAGAAUUUCGGUCAUCGAUGGGGAUGCGUUCCAUUAGCUUGUUGGCGGGGUAACGGCCCACCAAGGCAUCGAUGGAUAGGGGUUCUGAGAGGAAGGUCCCCCACAUUGGAACUGAGACACGGUCCAAACUCCUACGGAAGGCAGCAG